Long non-coding RNA from Rhineura floridana, 1371 nucleotides. RefSeq lists it as uncharacterized. The record is from RefSeq and is a predicted model, not a curated record. The transcript has 3 exons. Lineage: Eukaryota; Metazoa; Chordata; Lepidosauria; Squamata; Rhineuridae.
ACAGUUUCCUUCGAGGAAGUAGAAGUAUCUUCCGAAGGGCUCUAAAACAGAGGCUCCAACCUCUGCUUUCAAGGUGAAACUUGAUACACGUUGAAGUGAGAGCAUUAGUGCCACCCAGCAGAUGCAGAUAGGAACAGCACAGGAAACAGGGAAACAGGUUUAGUGAAAUAUAGGCAACAGAGAGCUCUGCAGAGACGUCUUACCAGGGAGCGGCCAUUUUCCCCUCUCUGGCUUACCAUCUCAGAGGACUCGGGUCUCCAAAUGCCACGCCACCCCAAAUUGCAAGCCACACUAUGAAAAUAGCAGUUACAUCUCUUGGACCUUUAAAUCCAACAGAACAACCACUUUUAGCUGCUGAAAAAGAACAGAGAAUAUUAGCAAUCAGGGCAACUACUGGAAAUGGAAGGUUGAUGUUGGCUCAAUGUGUGUGUUUAUACAGGAAGUCUAAGAUCAAGACAGAUUAUAAAUUUUGGGCAGAAAAGGAUGCCACUGGAAUGAGGGCAGUAAACAGGCUGAGGAACUGAAGGACAGGAGCACAAGAGAGCAUGGUAUGGGACCACCACUGAGGAACUUCUAUUCCUUUUCCCAACUAUCAAUGAAUUAGUGCUAUCACAGGCCAUGCUGUUGUGAAAUAAGUCUCAUCACAUCCAAAUAGACCAGACUAUUUUAUAAAGGUGAAUUGUGCCUGAAGAAGUCCAAUUCAUUAUGUUACACAAGCAACACUAAGGAAGUAUGAAGAUACUUCAGUGUUUGUAGGACAAGAAAUAAACCAAGGUAUUUCCAGGGCACAGAGAAAUAUUACAUGGGAAAACCCAAAGCACCCCUAAAUCAUUAAGCCUACCUGAACCGGAAAGAAGAUCCUUACGAACUGCUAAUAUGGUUAUCAGUUAUAUACUUGGAAUAUACAAGGAGAAACAAGUCAAAAAGAAAAGCAUCAGAGGUAGAAUCUUGCUGUGUAACUUCCAGAAUUGAGGAAAUGCAGCAGGAAUCACUGUUUCCCCCCAAUAAUGCCACAUAUUCUAAAAGACUCAACACUACCUGUGUGGGAUGCACCAAAGAGGAAAUUUACAGUUAAAUUAAAACAGCAUGAAUGGUUUGCUAUCAGAAUAAUAUACUCCCUAAUAAUCCCUGGGACAUUUCCAUCUGGACAGAUGAAGAUGGCUGCAUAGAACCAAAGGACAGGAACCCUCCAGAGGCUGCUUUUCAAUAUUUACACUGAACCCAGUGCAUGCUGGGAAAGGCUUCAGGAGUUCACAUAACAUUGUACAAAUUCUCAUGGAGGCUAUGCGAUGCAGACAUGAUCAAUAAACUUCAUAGUUAUGUGUCUCAGUGUAGAGUCUCUGUUCAUUGAUGUAGGGAGCUCUGGGGAUU